UUUUUAGUAUAAGUGUAUCCUAUGUAAUAUUUGGGGCAAAUUUAUACUAAAA
This 52-nucleotide microRNA precursor is filed under the name Equus asinus (donkey). RNAcentral describes it as "mir-1302 microRNA precursor family". It matches the Rfam family "mir-1302 microRNA precursor family". The record is from Rfam by way of RNAcentral. Lineage: Eukaryota; Metazoa; Chordata; Mammalia; Perissodactyla; Equidae. RNAcentral also lists the same sequence under 1 other name.